AAGUCGUAACAAGGUAUCCGUAGGUGAACCUGCGGAAGGAUCAUUAACAAUGAAUCAUUCAUAACACUGUGCACUGUCGGGGUAAUACCCCUUAAACCAUUAAAUUUUAUCAGAGUCAAACUAUUUUAUAGUCUUGUACAACUUUUAGCAACGGAUCUCUAGGCUCUC
RNAcentral lists this unclassified non-coding RNA (168 nucleotides) under fungal sp. Its description in RNAcentral is "partial internal transcribed spacer region". The stretch from base 1 to 46 matches the Rfam family "Eukaryotic small subunit ribosomal RNA", at positions 1786 to 1831 of the family's 1831-position model. The record is from RNAcentral. Lineage: Eukaryota; Fungi.